GAUGAACGCUGGCGGCGUGCCUAAUACAUGCAAGUCGAGCGAACAGACGAGGAGCUUGCUCCUCUGACGUUAGCGGCGGACGGGUGAGUAACACGUGGAUAACCUACCUAUAAGACUGGGAUAACUUCGGGAAACCGGAGCUAAUACCGGAUAAUAUAUUGAACCGCAUGGUUCAAUAGUUAAAGAGGGUUUGGCUGUCACUUUUAGAUGAAUCCGCGCCGCAUUAGCUAGUUGGUAAGGUAACGGCUUACCAAGGCGACGAUGCGUAGCCGACCUGAGAGGGUGAUCGGCCACACUGGAACUGAGACACGGUCCAGACUCCUACGGGAGGCAGCAGUAGGGAAUCUUCCGCAAUGGGCGAAAGCCUGACGGAGCAACGCCGCGUGAGUGAUGAAGGUCUUCGGAUCGUAAAACUCUGUUAUUAGGGAAGAACAAAUGUGUAAGUAACUAUGCACGUCUUGACGGUACCUAAUCAGAAAGCCACGGCUAACUACGUG
Molecule: ribosomal RNA, 497 nt
Filed under: uncultured bacterium
Lineage: Bacteria
Description: partial 16S ribosomal RNA
Rfam family: Bacterial small subunit ribosomal RNA
Source: RNAcentral